AGUGAACGCUGGCGGUAGGCCUAACACAUGCAAGUCGAACGGCAGCACAGUAAGAGCUUGCUCUUACGGGUGGCGAGUGGCGGACGGGUGAGGAAUACAUCGGAAUCUACUUUUUCGUGGGGGAUAACGUAGGGAAACUUACUCUAAUACCGCAUACGCCCUACGGUUGAAAGCAGUGGAUCUUCGGACCUUGCGCGAUUGAAUGAGCCGAUGUCGGAUUAGCUAGUUGGCGGGGUAAAGGCCCACCAAGGCGACGCUCCGUAGCUGGUCUGAGAGGAUGAUCAGCCACACUGGAACUGAGAAACGGUCCAGACUCCUACGGGAGGGAGCAGUGGGGAAUAUUGGACAAUGGGCGAAAGCAUGAUACAGCCAUACCGCGUGGGUGAAGAAGGACUUCGGGUUGUAAAGACCUUUUGUUGGGAAAGAAAAGCAGCAGGUUAAGACCACGCUGUUCUGACGGUACCCAAAGAAUAAGCACCGGCUAACUUCGUG
RNAcentral lists this ribosomal RNA (492 nucleotides) under uncultured bacterium. RNAcentral describes it as "partial 16S ribosomal RNA". It matches the Rfam family "Bacterial small subunit ribosomal RNA", at positions 29 to 507 of the family's 1533-position model. The record is from RNAcentral.